AGGUGUGGGGGGUGUCGACUCCCUCCGUGCCGAAGCUAACGCAUUAAGUGUCCCGCCUGGGGAGUACGGCCGCAAGGCUAAAACUCAAAGGAAUUGACGGGGGCCCGCACAAGCAGCGGAGCAUGUGGUUUAAUUGGACGCAACGCCAAGAACCUUACCUGGGCUUGACAUGUUCCUGACCGUCCUGGAAACAGGGCUUCCCUUCGGGGCAGGAUCACAGGUGGUGCAUGGCUGUCGU
This 238-nucleotide ribosomal RNA is filed under the name uncultured bacterium. Its description in RNAcentral is "partial 16S ribosomal RNA". It matches the Rfam family "Bacterial small subunit ribosomal RNA", at positions 818 to 1055 of the family's 1533-position model. The record is from RNAcentral.